RNAcentral lists this small nuclear RNA (310 nucleotides) under Propithecus coquereli (Coquerel's sifaka). RNAcentral describes it as "7SK RNA (ENSPCOG00000011117.1)". It matches the Rfam family "7SK RNA". From Rfam's summary of the family: 7SK was discovered as an abundant small nuclear RNA in the mid-70s but a possible function has only recently been suggested. Two independent studies have found that 7SK RNA binds the CDK9/cyclin T complex (known as elongation factor P-TEFb). P-TEFb activates transcription by phosphorylating the C-terminal domain of RNA polymerase II. Lineage: Eukaryota; Metazoa; Chordata; Mammalia; Primates; Indriidae. The record is from RNAcentral.
GGAUGCGAGGGUGAUCUGGCUGCAACAUCUGUCACCCCAUUGAUCGCCAGGGUUGAUUCGGCUGAUCUGGCUAGCUAGGCAGCUGUCCCCUUCCUCCCUCACCGCUCCAUGUGUAUCCCUCCCGAAGCUGCGCACUCGGUCGAAGAAGACCACCUUCCCCGCUAGAGGACUGGUCUUCGGUCAAGGGUAUAUAAGCAGCUGCGCUCCCCUGCUAGAACCUCCAAACAAGCUCUCAAGAGCUCUCUUAAGAGAUCCUAAAGGGAGCCAGUGGAAAGGAGAAGACACCAGAAAGAAACAGGUAGUGUCACUG